Molecule: long non-coding RNA, 513 nt
Organism: Branchiostoma belcheri (Belcher's lancelet)
Lineage: Eukaryota; Metazoa; Chordata; Leptocardii; Amphioxiformes; Branchiostomatidae
Exons: 3
Source: RefSeq, a predicted model, not a curated record
CACAGAUGGAGGUGGAGGGACCGCUACGUUCACGGCCACAGUCAGCAUCACGGACGUGAACGACAACACUCCGGUCUUCAGUCCUGCAACUUACACGACCAGCGUUAAUGAGGACACCGCCGCGGUGGGUGAUAGCGUCAUCACCGUGGCGGCAACCGACGCAGACGACGGCGCCUUCGGAACCCUGGAGUACGUCAUUUCUGCCGGAAACGGCGAUGGCAUCUUCACAAUCAGUUCUACCACCGGCCUCAUCACUAUCCAGUCGACCACCUCGCUAGACUAUGAGACCACCACGCAGUACGCUCUAACCGUCCUAGGUAAGGACGGGGCCACGGGAGCCGACCAGAGAACCGCCACGGUGACAGUCUACGUGGAUGUGGACCCGGCAAACGAGUUCGACCCGGUGUUCACUUCGCCCAGUAGCUCCCCGUUCGCGGUGUCCAUCGCCGAGAGCGCGGCGUUGGGGAGUCAGCUGUACACUGUUGUGGCGACGGACCAGGAUAGCGGAUCGGA